Molecule: ribosomal RNA, 443 nt
Filed under: uncultured bacterium
Lineage: Bacteria
Description: partial 16S ribosomal RNA
Rfam family: Bacterial small subunit ribosomal RNA
Source: RNAcentral
CCUACGGGAGGCAGCAGUGGGGAAUAUUGGGCAAUGGGCGCAAGCCUGACCCAGCAACGCCGCGUGAAGGAAGAAGGCUUUCGGGUUGUAAACUUCUUUUCUCAGGGACGAAACAAGUGACGGUACCUGAGGAAUAAGCCACGGCUAACUACGUGCCAGCAGCCGCGGUAAUACGUAGGUGGCAAGCGUUAUCCGGAUUUACUGGGUGUAAAGGGCGUGUAGGCGGGGCUGCAAGUCAGAUGUGAAAGGCAUGGGCUCAACCUGUGGCCUGCAUUUGAAACUGUAGUUCUUGAGUGCUGGAGAGGCAGACGGAAUUCCUAGUGUAGCGGUGAAAUGCGUAGAUAUUAGGAGGAACACCAGUGGCGAAGGCGGUCUGCUGGACAGCAACUGACGCUGAGGCGCGAAAGCGUGGGGAGCAAACAGGAUUAGAUACCCCUGUAGUC